CCUACGGGAGGCAGCAGUAGGGAAUCUUCCACAAUGGGCGAAAGCCUGAUGGAGCAACGCCGCGUGGGUGAAGAAGGUCUUCGGAUCGUAAAACCCUGUUGUUAGAGAAGAAAGUGCGUGAGAGUAACUGUUCACGUUUCGACGGUAUCUAACCAGAAAGCCACGGCUAACUACGUGCCAGCAGCCGCGGUAAUACGUAGGUGGCAAGCGUUAGCCGGAUUUACUGGGCGUAAAGGGAACGCAGGCGGUCUUUUAAGUCUGAUGUGAAAGCCUUCGGCUUAACCGGAGUAGUGCAUUGGAAACUGGGAGACUUGAGUGCAGAAGAGGAGGGUGGAACUCCAUGUGUAGGGGUGAAAUGCGUAGAGAUAUGGAAGAACACUCGUGGCGAAAGCGGCUCUCUGGUCUGUAACUGACGCUGAGGUUCGAAAGCGUGGGUAGCAAACAGGAUUAGAUACCCUAGUAGUC
RNAcentral lists this ribosomal RNA (465 nucleotides) under uncultured bacterium. Its description in RNAcentral is "partial 16S ribosomal RNA". It matches the Rfam family "Bacterial small subunit ribosomal RNA", at positions 338 to 795 of the family's 1533-position model. The record is from RNAcentral.